AAAUGCAUAGAUAUGCUACAGAACACCGAUCGCGAAGGCAGCUCACUAAACCAACACUGACGCUCAGGCACGAAAGCGUGGGUAGCGAACAGGAUUAGAUACCCUGGUAGUCCACGCCGUAAACGAUGAUUACUCGUUGUUGGCGAUACACAGUCAGUGACUAAGCGAAAGCGAUAAGUAAUCCACCUGGGGAGUACGUUCGCAAGAAUGAAACUCAAAGGAAUUGACGGGGGCCCGCACAAGCGGUGGAGCAUGUGGUUUAAUUCGAUGAUACGCGAGGAACCUUACCUGGGCUCAAAUGUAAGUUGACGUAACGGGAAACCGUUAUUUCUUCGGACAAUUUACAAGGUGCUGCAUGGUUGUCGUCAGCUCGUGCCGUGAGGUGUCGGGUUAAGUCCCAUAACGAGCGCAACCCCUAUCAUUAGUUGCCAUCAGGUAAAGCUGGGGACUCUAAUGAAACUGCCUACGCAAGUAGAGAGGAAGGUGGGGAUGACGUCAAAUCAGCACGGCCCUUACGUCCAGGGCUACACACGUGCUACAAUGGCCGGUACAGAGGGCAGCCACCUGGUGACAGGGAGCGAAUCUCGAAAGCCGGUCUCAGUUCGGAUCGAAGUCUGCAACCCGACUUCGUGAAGCUGGAAUCGCUAGUAAUCGCGCAUCAGCCAUGGCGCGGUGAAUACGUUCCCGGGCCUUGUACACACCGCCCGUCAAGCCAUGGAAGCUGGGGGUACCUGA
RNAcentral lists this ribosomal RNA (735 nucleotides) under uncultured bacterium. Its description in RNAcentral is "bacterial SSU rRNA". It matches the Rfam family "Bacterial small subunit ribosomal RNA", at positions 684 to 1424 of the family's 1533-position model. The record is from RNAcentral.